AGAACCUACGUAAGAAGUCUUCAUCAUCUGCGGGACUGAAGAGCAGCAUAUUCUCGCAAGCAAACUUAAAUACCUACUUAGGAAUCACUUCCUCCAUGUGAUUGGCUGCCCUGAUGAAUGUCCUGGAGUGCUAAAGACACCACUGAAAUCAAGAUAAUUGCCUUGCACUUUAUGACUGCUUGAAAGUUGAAAUUGGGAAAACUGAAAGCUAGACUUGUGAUUUAACGGAAAUCAAGAUCUUUUGGUUUUCUGUGAUAAACAUAUCUCAAACCUUGGAGGAAUUCUCAUUUUGGUUGAAGAAAUGAAACUACUAAG
This 315-nucleotide long non-coding RNA is filed under the name Anser brachyrhynchus (Pink-footed goose). RNAcentral describes it as "lncRNA (ENSABRG00000015224.1)". Lineage: Eukaryota; Metazoa; Chordata; Aves; Anseriformes; Anatidae. The record is from RNAcentral.